UACAGAGGGGGCAAGCGUUGUUCGGAAUUACUGGGCGUAAAGGGCGCGUAGGUGGCCUUCUAAGUCGAACGUGAAAUCCCUGGGCUCAACCCAGGAACUGCGUCCGAGACUGGGAGGCUUGAAUCCGGGAGAGGGAUGCGGAAUUCCAGGUGUAGCGGUGAAAUGCGUAGAUAUCUGGAGGAACACCGGUGGCGAAGGCGGCAUCCUGGACCAACACUGACGCUGAGGAGCGAAAGCCAGGGGAGCAAACGGG
This 253-nucleotide ribosomal RNA is filed under the name uncultured bacterium. RNAcentral's name for it is "partial 16S ribosomal RNA". It matches the Rfam family "Bacterial small subunit ribosomal RNA", at positions 524 to 776 of the family's 1533-position model. The record is from RNAcentral.